UGUCUUGACGUAUGUAUUUACCUUUGAUAUCCAUGACUCGACGCACAUUUAGCAAGUUAAAGGGACCUGUGGCCUUGCACGUGCUCUGCAUCUUCAACUGCACAGACAAAUCAUUUGUGCCAGCUACUUCCCUGCUCUCCUUCC
Long non-coding RNA from Oreochromis aureus, 144 nucleotides. RefSeq lists it as uncharacterized. The transcript has 3 exons. The record is from RefSeq and is a predicted model, not a curated record. Lineage: Eukaryota; Metazoa; Chordata; Actinopteri; Cichliformes; Cichlidae.